Molecule: ribosomal RNA, 372 nt
Filed under: Callyspongia plicifera (azure vase sponge)
Lineage: Eukaryota; Metazoa; Porifera; Demospongiae; Haplosclerida; Callyspongiidae
Description: eukaryotic LSU rRNA
Rfam family: Eukaryotic large subunit ribosomal RNA
Source: RNAcentral
GAAACUCUGGUGGAGGCCCGUAGCGGUUCUGACGUGCAAAUCGAUCGUCGCACUUGGGUAUAGGGGCGAAAGACUAAUCGAACCAUCUAGUAGCUGGUUCCCUCCGAAGUUUCCCUCAGGAUAGCUGGAGCUCGUUCCGAGCAGUUUCGUCGGGUAAAGCGAAUGAUUAGAGGUAUCGGGGUUGAAAGGGCCUCGCCCUAUUCUCAAACUUUAAAUCGGCGAGAAGGGUCUGUCUUGCCUGCCGGAAGACGAUCCUUGAAUGCAGGGGCUCCAAGUGGGCCGUUUUUGGUAAGCAGAACCGGCGAUGCGGGAUGAACCGAACGCUAGGCUAUGGCGCCGGAGUCGACGCUGAGCAGAUACCAGGAAAGGUGU